Molecule: ribosomal RNA, 440 nt
Filed under: uncultured bacterium
Lineage: Bacteria
Description: partial 16S ribosomal RNA
Rfam family: Bacterial small subunit ribosomal RNA
Source: RNAcentral
CCUACGGGUGGCUGCAGUGGGGAAUAUUGCACAAUGGGGGAAACCCUGAUGCAGCGACGCCGCGUGAGUGAAGAAGUAUUUCGGUACGUAAAGCUCUAUCAGUAGGGAAGAAAAUGACGGUACCUGACUACGAAGCCCCGGCUAACUACGUGCCAGCAGCCGCGGUAAUACGUAGGGGGCAAGCGUUAUCCGGAUUUACGGGGUGUAAAGGGAGCGUAGCCGGGCUGACAAGUCAGAUGUGAAAUCCCGUGGCUCAACCACGGAACUGCAUUUGAAACUGUCGGUCUUGAGUAUCGGAGAGGCAGGCGGAAUUCCUAGUGUAGCGGUGAAAUGCGUAGAUAUUAGGAGGAACACCAGUGGCGAAGGCGGCCUGCUGGACGACAACUGACGGUGAGGCGCGAAAGCGUGGGGAGCAAACAGGAUUAGAUACCCUUGUAGUC